AGUGAACGCUGGCGGUAGGCCUAACACAUGCAAGUCGAACGGCAGCACAGUAAGAGCUUGCUCUUACGGGUGGCGAGUGGCGGACGGGUGAGGAAUACAUCGGAAUCUACUUUUUCGUGGGGGAUAACGUAGGGAAACUUACGCUAAUACCGCAUACGACCUACGGGUGAAAGCAGGGGAUCUUCGGACCUUGCGCGAUUGAAUGAGCCGAUGUCGGAUUAGCUAGUUGGCGGGGUAAAGGCCCACCAAGGCGACGAUCCGUAGCUGGCCUGAGAGGAUGAUCAGCCACACUGGAACUGAGACACGGUCCAGACUCCUACGGGAGGCAGCAGUGGGGAAUAUUGGACAAUGGGCGCAAGCCUGAUCCAGCCAUACCGCGUGGGUGAAGAAGGCCUUCGGGUUGUAAAGCCCUUUUGUUGGGAAAGAAAAGCAGCAGGUUAAUACCCCGCUGUUCUGACGGUACCCAAAGAAUAAGCACCGGCUAACCUCGU
This 491-nucleotide ribosomal RNA is filed under the name uncultured bacterium. Its description in RNAcentral is "partial 16S ribosomal RNA". It matches the Rfam family "Bacterial small subunit ribosomal RNA", at positions 29 to 506 of the family's 1533-position model. The record is from RNAcentral.